AAUAUCUGGGGUGCUUAUUAUAGCUGAGAAAUACCCAUGAACCUGAUUUGGUUAAUACCAACGUAGGAAGAUAUU
This 75-nucleotide non-coding RNA is filed under the name chicken gut metagenome. Its description in RNAcentral is "TPP riboswitch (THI element)". It matches the Rfam family "TPP riboswitch aptamer (THI element)", at positions 6 to 94 of the family's 105-position model. Rfam says of the family: Vitamin B(1) in its active form thiamin pyrophosphate (TPP) is an essential coenzyme that is synthesised by coupling of pyrimidine and thiazole moieties in bacteria. The previously detected thiamin-regulatory element, thi box was extended, resulting in a new, highly conserved RNA secondary structure, the THI element, which is widely distributed in eubacteria and also occurs in some archaea. Analysis of operon structures identified a large number of new candidate thiamin-regulated genes, mostly transporters, in various prokaryotic organisms. The record is from RNAcentral.